Oryctolagus cuniculus (rabbit) is the source of this 178-nucleotide small nuclear RNA. Its record names the gene U2. It matches the Rfam family "U2 spliceosomal RNA". Rfam says of the family: U2 is a small nuclear RNA (snRNA) component of the spliceosome (involved in pre-mRNA splicing). Complementary binding between U2 snRNA (in an area lying towards the 5' end but 3' to hairpin I) and the branchpoint sequence (BPS) of the intron results the bulging out of an unpaired adenosine, on the BPS, which initiates a nucleophilic attack at the intronic 5' splice site, thus starting the first of two transesterification reactions that mediate splicing. NCBI's taxonomy places the organism in Eukaryota, Metazoa, Chordata, Mammalia, Lagomorpha, Leporidae. The record is from Ensembl.
AUCGCUUCUCGGCCUUUUGGCUAAGAUCAAGUGUAGUAUCUGUUCUUAUCAGUUUAAUAUCUGAUACGUCCUCUAUCCGAGGACAAUAUAUUAAAUGGAUUUUUGGAGCCGGGAGUUGGAAUAGGAGCUUGCUCCGUCCACUCCGCGCAUCGACCCGGUAUUGCACGGUGCACCCCCU